CUGACGGCUGUACCAGCCUGAAUACGCCUGGUCUCAUCUGAUCUCAGAAGCUAAGCAGGGUUAGUCCUGGUUAGUACCUGGAUGGGAGAUAAGCAACAGAAAAAUAACUGUACAGA
RNAcentral lists this ribosomal RNA (116 nucleotides) under Acanthochromis polyacanthus (spiny chromis). The record is from RNAcentral. Lineage: Eukaryota; Metazoa; Chordata; Actinopteri; Pomacentridae.